This 305-nucleotide unclassified non-coding RNA is filed under the name Hevea brasiliensis (rubber tree). The record is from RNAcentral. Lineage: Eukaryota; Viridiplantae; Streptophyta; Magnoliopsida; Malpighiales; Euphorbiaceae.
GACAACAACUAGUUGCACAUUUCUUUCCAAGAAAAAGAAAGCUCUCUCUGUGCAGAGAGAAAGAGAAGAGGAGAAAGAAUGGAAAUGGAGGGCAGGAGUCACAGUAACAAGGGAGAGAGCAAGAGUAGUGUGGUUGUCAGUGAUCAAGAAACUACAAUCGAUUGGAGAGGGAGACCCUCCAAUCCUAGCAAGCACGGUGGAAUGAGAGCUGCAACAUUUGUUCUUGGGCUUCAAGCAUUUGAGAUAAUGGCAAUAGCAGCAGUAGGGAAUAAUCUGAUAACAUAUGUGAUGAAUGAGAUGCACUU